UUAUAUCCUCAUUCACGAAGCUUUAAGAACAGACAAGUGGUUGGCAUGAGCUUCUGACUGAAUGAGUCAGUGAUGUUUUGUGUCCUGCAUUAUUUCUGGAACUACAUUCAGUUUCUAUUCGAUACAGUUUCUGAAACGUCUGUGUUGUUCAGUGAUUAUUCAUCAGAAAACUUCAGGUUCUUACACAGUGAUGUACUAAAAGAACAUGAUAUCUAAUGAGUAAAGAGCAGUUAUGGGCUUGACAGCAUGAAACACAGCUGGAGUCUUACAGUGAGCUUUUUCUCUUCAUGGCUAUUCCUCUGGGAAUCGUUUUAUGUCUCUAGUGGGCGUGCCAUGCAAACCAAAUCCUGUGUUUGAACCAUUUAUGCUGAUAUACAUUCAGCUAAACAACACACCAGCAGUUUGUGUUCAUUUACAGCAACAGUGAUCAUUUUAAUUCUUUGAGAUGGGACUAGGCAGAGUUUUGAGUUACUUUACUCUAGCAAUCUUCAUUCAAUAUUCCUGCAGUCAGACACUGAUCGAGUCUGAUUCAGUCAUCAUCAAACCUGAUCAGUCUCAUAAACUGACCUGCACAGCAUCUGGAUUGGACGUUAGUGGCUACUGGAUGGCUUGGAUCAGACAGGCUCCUGGAAAAGGACUGGAAUUUGUUGCAACUAACUAUAGCAGUAGUAGCAUAUAUUACUCCAGUGCAGUUAAAGGCCGCUUCACCAUCUCCAGAGACGACAGUAAGAUGCAGGUGUAUCUGCACAUGAACAGCGUGAGGACAGAAGACACAGCUGUGUAUUACUGCGCCCGUGACCCACAGUGAUACUUCUCCUUAGACAUCAGUACAAAAACACAUGCUUGCUAUAGUCACAUGACAAGCUCACAUUUUCAUAAGCAGUGUAUUCAUGGAGCUCAAAGAUCCAAAAUGUUUUGACUUUUACUGCAUGUGGCUUAUUGUGAACAUUGUCUGGACAUUUAUGCUGGUAUAAGAUUACUUAGGUCAGAGUCAGUUCUGAAUAUAUAUAUAUAUGGUACAGAGGGUAAUGUUGCCACCUCACAGCUUCAGGGCCCUCGGUUUGAUCCUGGUCAUACAAAAUGCUCCACAUUAUAAUUCUUACUUUUUUUACUUAGUACUUUAGCUCUAUUUGAGUUUUUUUUUUUAACAAGUUGCUUUAAAAUCACUUCUUUUAGAUCUGAGUAUUUUGAAAACUGGACCUUUGUGCCUCUAGAGGGCAGUCUGUGCAAACUCAACCAUCUCAGUCUGUUGCUAUCUGCACUUUUAGGCCCCGUCUCUUUUCACAGGCUGCUAUGACUGCAUCCAGCACCAUGACUCUCAGAUUAAACUCCAGGAAGAUAAUUGCUUGUUGUUGCUUAUAUCAUUACUUUUGCAGAGUCUUGUGAGACAAAAUAUAAUUAAAUAAAUGCAAUGCUAUUCCUUUUUAUCUUCAUUCUACAUUUAUUCUUUAUCCAAUCAGAAUGAGUCAGAGAUGAUGUGUGGUCUACAUUAUUUCUGUAACCAUAUUAAUUAAUCAAAAAACAUUAAUGUCUUUGUGUAUAGUUCUGUGCUAUAGAAGCAGAUAUGGUAAUGGGGCAAAAUAGCUCCUAAAGGCUUAACUGUAAAACACAGCUCGAGUCUUGCAAUAAACAUUUGCCCUUUAAUGGCUAUUUCUGUAAUGUUUUUAUAUCUCUAUUUCUAAUGCAGAUUAAGCGCCAUGUUUAAACCACAUAUGCUGAUAUAUUCAGGAAAUGAAUUCAUUUAGAGAAGGUGCUAUUUUUAUUCCUUGAGAUGCAUCUGAGGAGAGUUUUGAGCUGAUGUUGCUGCAUCACUGAGCAUUCAUUUUUGGUUUCACUCUUUAUUAAAUUUAUUCUUUUAUUAUUUAUUAAUUUAUAUAAGUAUAUAUAUAUUUAUAUUUAUAAAAGUAUAAGACCUGUCUCUGAAUGUUAUUGCAUUUCAGAUUCAUGCAGUCAGACACUGAUUGAAGCAGAUACA
Molecule: non-coding RNA, 1975 nt
Organism: Pangasianodon hypophthalmus (striped catfish)
Lineage: Eukaryota; Metazoa; Chordata; Actinopteri; Siluriformes; Pangasiidae
Source: the annotation of a RefSeq genome assembly